Molecule: ribosomal RNA, 465 nt
Filed under: uncultured bacterium
Lineage: Bacteria
Description: bacterial SSU rRNA
Rfam family: Bacterial small subunit ribosomal RNA
Source: RNAcentral
CCUACGGGGGGCUGCAGUAGGGAAUCUUCCGCAAUGGACGAAAGUCUGACGGAGCAACGCCGCGUGAGCGAAGAAGGUCUUCGGAUCGUAACGCUCUGUUGUUAGGGAAGAACAAGUACGGGAGGACAUGACCGUACCUUGACGGUACCUGACGAGGAAGCCACGGAUAACUACGUGCCAGCAGCCGCGGUAAUACGUAGGUGGCAAGCGUUGUGCUGAAUUAUUGGGCGUAAAGCGCGCGCAGGCGGUAUUUUAAGUCUGAUGUGCAAUCUUGAGGCUCAACAGCAGGCGGUCAUUGGAAACUGGAGGACUGGAGUGCUGAAGAGGAAAGCGGAAUUCCACGUGUAGCGGUGAAAUGCUUAGAGAUGUGGAGGAGCACCAGUGGUGAAGGCGGCUUUCUGGUCUGUAACUGACGCUGAAGCGCGAAAGCGUGGGAAGCAAACAGGAGUAGAUACCCCUGUAGUC